This 207-nucleotide ribosomal RNA is filed under the name uncultured bacterium. Its description in RNAcentral is "partial 16S ribosomal RNA". It matches the Rfam family "Bacterial small subunit ribosomal RNA", at positions 568 to 774 of the family's 1533-position model. The record is from RNAcentral.
UGCGUAGGCGGCUUGACAAGUUGGUAGUGAAAUUCCGAGGCUUAACUUCGGCGCUACUACCAAGACUGCCGAGCUUGAGUACGGGAGAGGUAAGUGGAAUUCCUAGUGUAGCGGUGGAAUGCGUAGAUAUUAGGAGGAACAUCAGUGGCGAAGGCGACUUACUGGACGAUAACUGACGCUGAGGCACGAAAGCGUGGGGAGCAAACA